GAUGAACGCUGGCGGCGUGCUUAACACAUGCAAGUCGAACGGAAAGGCUCCUGCUUGCAGGGGUACUCGAGUGGCGAACGGGUGAGUAACACGUGGGUGAUCUGCCCUGCACUUCGGGAUAAGCCUGGGAAACUGGGUCUAAUACCGGAUAGGACCACAUUUUGGAUGGUGUGGUGGAAAGUUUUUCGGUGUGGGAUGAGCUCGCGGCCUAUCAGCUUGUUGGUGGGGUAAUGGCCUACCAAGGCGUCGACGGGUAGCCGGCCUGAGAGGGGGGACGGCCACAUUGGGACUGAGAUACGGCCCACACUCCUACGGGGGGCAGCAGUGGGGAAUAUUGCACAAUGGGCGCAAGCCUGAUGCAGCGACGCCGCGUGGGGGGUGACGGCCUUCGGGUUGUAAACUCCUUUCGCGAGGGACGAAGCGUUUUUGUGACGGUACCUGGAGAAGAAGCACCGGCUAACUACGUG
RNAcentral lists this ribosomal RNA (467 nucleotides) under uncultured bacterium. RNAcentral's name for it is "partial 16S ribosomal RNA". It matches the Rfam family "Bacterial small subunit ribosomal RNA", at positions 28 to 507 of the family's 1533-position model. The record is from RNAcentral.